Molecule: long non-coding RNA, 394 nt
Organism: Sardina pilchardus (European sardine)
Lineage: Eukaryota; Metazoa; Chordata; Actinopteri; Clupeiformes; Clupeidae
Exons: 3
Source: RefSeq, a predicted model, not a curated record
GUUUGCCUGUGGAUGUACAUGUCAUACCGUCUACUCAGGAGUAGCGUCUCUGAGGGGGGGAAACAAAAUAUUCAAGCCCGGUUGACUGCCGUUUCCUCGGGAUUUGCCUGCUCCCGUCUUUGAAGUGACUGAGUCAUCGCCAUGGCUGCCUACUUCCAUCUCAGAACCACGUCUCUUCAUCUAAGGUGGCUAUUCACCUCUUCAUAUGAAGAUGGAUGAGACCGGGGAGGGCCAGUCUGUAAUCAUAUCGUGGCUUCCUUCAACUGCGAAGUGAAUCACUCCUAAAAUUCAAGCAUGUACUGUACACUGAAGAACUCAACAACUCAAGACAAGGAUCAAGAGGAAUGGAAGUCUGAAGAAUGUCAAACUCUAUCUGAUUGACUGUGUCUAAAAG